UGGAUCCAGACUUUGAUCAUGGCUCAGGAUGAACGCUAGCUACAGGCUUAACACAUGCAAGUCGAGGGGAAACGACAUUGAAAGCUUGCUUUCGAUGGGCGUCGACCGGCGCACGGGUGAGUAACGCGUAUCCAACCUGCCCAUCACUUGGGGAUAACCUUGCGAAAGUAAGACUAAUACCCAAUGACGUCUCUAGAAGACAUCUGAAAGAGAUUAAAGAUUUAUCGGUGAUGGAUGGGGAUGCGUCUGAUUAGCUUGUUGGCGGGGUAACGGCCCACCAAGGCUACGAUCAGUAGGGGUUCUGAGAGGAAGGUCCCCCACAUUGGAACUGAGACACGGUCCAAACUCCUACGGGAGGCAGCAGUGAGGAAUAUUGGUCAAUGGACGAGAGUCUGAACCAGCCAAGUAGCGUGCAGGAUGACGGCCCUAUGGGUUGUAAACUGCUUUUAUAAGGGAAUAAAGUGAGUCUCGUGAGACUUUUUGCAUGUACCUUAUGAAUAA
This 501-nucleotide ribosomal RNA is filed under the name uncultured organism. Its description in RNAcentral is "bacterial SSU rRNA". It matches the Rfam family "Bacterial small subunit ribosomal RNA", at positions 1 to 489 of the family's 1533-position model. The record is from RNAcentral.